Molecule: ribosomal RNA, 1026 nt
Filed under: uncultured marine bacterium
Lineage: Bacteria
Description: bacterial SSU rRNA
Rfam family: Bacterial small subunit ribosomal RNA
Source: RNAcentral
GCAAGUCGAACGAAGUAGCAAUACUUAGUGGCAGACGGGUGAGUAACAUGUAGGUAUCUUCCCUUUGGCCUGGAAUAACACGAGGAAACUUGUGCUAAUACCGGAUAAGUCUUUACAGAGAAAGCUUUAUGCACCAUUGGAUGAGCCUGCACUUGAUUAGUUUGUUGGUGGGGUAAUGGCCUACCAAGACUGUGAUCAAUAGCUGAUUUGAGAGGAUGAUCAGCCACAUUGGGACUGAGACACGGCCCAAACUCCUACGGGAGGCAGCAGUGGGGAAUCUUGCACAAUGGAGGAAACUCUGAUGCAGCGAUGCCGCGUGAGUGAAGAAGGCCCUUGGGUUGUAAAGCUCUUUCGUCGGGGAAGAAAAUGACUGUACCCGAAUAAGAAGGUCCGGCUAACUUCGUGCCAGCAGCCGCGGUAAUACGAAGGGACCUAGCGUAGUUCGGAAUUACUGGGCUUAAAGAGUUCGUAGGUGGUUGAAAAAGUUGGUGGUGAAAUCCCAGAGCUUAACUCUGGAACUGCCAUCAAAACUUUUCAGCUAGAGUUUGAUAGAGGAAAGCAGAAUUUCUAGUGUAGAGGUGAAAUUCGUAGAUAUUAGAAAGAAUACCAAUUGCGAAGGCAGCUUUCUGGAUCAUUACUGACACUGAGGAACGAAAGCAUGGGUAGCGAAGAGGAUUAGAUACCCUCGUAGUCCAUGCCGUAAACGAUGUGUGUUAGACGUUGGAAAUUUAUUUUCAGUGUCGCAGCGAAAGCAAUAAACACACCGCCUGGGGAGUACGACCGCAAGGUUAAAACUCAAAUGAAUUGACGGGGACCCGCACAAGUAGUGGAGCAUGUGGUUUAAUUCGAAGAUACGCGCAGAACCUUACCAACACUUGACAUGUUCGUCGCGACUUUAAGAGAUUAAAGUUUUCGGUUCGGCCGGACGAAACACAGGUGCUGCAUGGCUGUCGUCAGCUCGUGUCGUGAGAUGUUGGGUUAAGUCCCGCACGAGCGCAACCCUCACUUUUAGUUGCCAUCAUUAGU